Long non-coding RNA from Ictalurus punctatus (channel catfish), 3697 nucleotides. The record is from Ensembl. Lineage: Eukaryota; Metazoa; Chordata; Actinopteri; Siluriformes; Ictaluridae.
GUUAUCUAAAGUAUUGCUAGUUAGUGUACAUUACAUAGAAAUUGAGUAAAAUCAAUGUUUAUUGCUAUAAGGAGUCAAGAGACAAGUGACAUAACGAGCCACAAUGUAUACAUGGUAGAAAAAAUAACUUAUCAUGUGCCUUAUUUUUUCUUCCAUGAUGUUAGCUAUACAUAUUCAUACCAAUUUAUACUACAUGCUUAAAACACAGCAAUGUCAGGAGGCCGUAUUAAAUAUUUUCUCUCAGUCCUGUGUUUCACCUCAGCUUUGAGUAUUUGUGUUUGAGCCAGUGUUGCUGGGUUGUUAUGCUGUCACAGUCCAGUGUCAAAAUUCAACCAAUGAUUUCUGAUGUUGUGUUACCUACACAAACCAUGUGUGUAUAUAAUGUAAAAUAACUGAUCUCCAUUCAUAGAUGUAGAAAAAACAGCAGUUUGUAUAGUGUAUAUUGUGCAACUGUGACUUUAUAUUAGAUUACUGCUUACUGUAAAUAUCUCAGUCGUUAAACACUACUACUACUACUACUACUACUACUACUACUACUACUAAUAAUAAUAAUAAUAAUAAUAAUAAUCCUACUGUUCUCACACUGAAUUUCUCUCAUUUUGCAGGUUUUCUGGAGGAAAACGUACAUGCAUGGUGUUACUGCUAGGUAGAAAAAUAUAUAGUAUGAAUUCAAAAUUUCCUAAGCCUAUACAAUCCGUUUCAAACAAUUUACAUUUUAAAAUGUCCAAAUAUAUUUUUUGGAAAAAAAUUCAAAAUAAAAAGUCUAUAUCACACGGUUCUAACAUUCUUCAUUCAGGUAAUAGCUCACAUCCACCUUGGUGUACGAGUGAAAAUAUUAAGAUCUGUUUAAAUAAACUAAAAUCUACGAAAGGCCCUGUAAUUUACGAAAGUGGAGAAAUUCUAAAAUAUGAUCCCAGCAUGAGGCCGGUGAUUAGAAAAGAAAUACCAUGCGAAAUUAUUAUUACCGCCGGAAAAAAAAUUAGAAGAAAAGAACUUGGCUGUUAUUACAGUUCUGGUCAUGUCCUGACUGCGUUUCAUGUUGUUGAAGGUUUAGAAAAUUUUGACAUACUCGUUGCUUUCCAUAAUGGAAAACGUACGCUGAUUUAUAAGGCUAAAUUUCCAAAAUCUUAUAACACUGACUCACACAGAGAUCAGACAUGUAUUAAAUUACUUGGUGACACUAACCCGCUUGGUGAUGGUUUACAAAAUCAAGUUGGUAAAGCCAAUAAAUCCAAAAGUGUAUAUUUUUACAUACAAACUCCUGACGGAAAGUUUAAGAAGCAGGAGGGUGAAAUCGUGCAGGACGGUAAUAUCGUUAAAGAAAGACGCUAUGAAUUUAGAAUAUCUGUAGCUGGUAAACAUGGAGACAGUGGCUCACUUGUUUAUAAAGCUGAGGGUGAACCGUUUGGCAUAUAUAGAGGCGUACGUAAGGACAAUGGAUAUGGUGUCUGUUCUAGAAUUUCUCCACAUUUUAAACCUGUUAACAUGUAACUGAUGUUACAGAUUUAUUUAAUAGUUCUAAAAAAAAUAAUAUUUUAUUUAUAUUUAAAAAAACUUAUUUUUUUAAAAACCUAACAAGAAACUGAUAUUACGGAAUUAUUUAAAAGGUUUAUAACAAUAUUUUAUUUAUAUAAAAAAGUCUUAAUUUUUUAAAAGAAUAUAAUUUUUUGUUAUCAUAGCAAACUGUCUCUCACUUUUAUUCUAAGCCUGAGUAGAGUGUACGUGUGUGACGUGCGUGUACAUGCAACACAUGAGUCGAACUGAGCCACUGGGGCCAAGCCUCUGGAUUUCCCGUUUCAUUUUUGUUUUCUGCAGACUGAGGAAUUAAAGCUCAUGUAAAAGCGCAACCCAAGUCCGCUGAGUUUCACCUGCUGGCAGCGAGCAUUUACCACACUGAUGACAAAAACCUGGAGAUCAGUACACACCGAAAACCACAUGUACAUGGAGCCAAAUCCCCUGGCACAGAUCGUCCAGCCUCAAGCCAUCUUCUAGGAUGCAAGAGAAGCAGCAUCAGGCUCUCACGGGUCUGCAGCAACAGCAACAGGAAAUCCUCUUUAAACAUCAUGGAGGAGCAAGCGGCAGACCAACCCACCAUCCAGAGCCUGAUGGCACUAUCCCCUCUAUAAACACUCUCACUGGCCAUUAUGGCACCCCACGGUGGUGUCGGGGUGAACCUGGAGAUGUUCGAGAGCAAAGCCUCAGCAUGAGUCUGGCUGAGAGUGAGGUCUGCACAUUCAAGCCCUCCUGAACAGAGACUUGGUUGUUUUCCAGUGGCUCGCAGUGACUCAUGUGUCGUGCACACACACACACACACACACAACAGCACAAAAAUAAAUAAAUAAAAUAAAAUAAAAUAAAUAAUUUAAAAAACAAACACACAAAACAUUUUUUUAUUAAUAUAAUUAUUAUUAUUAUCUAGUAGAAAGGCAUGUGGUGUACGAUCCUCUGAAAACCACUUCCUCCAUUUUAGUUGUUGGGUCCCCAGGCUGAGGUGCACAAAAUAAGGCCAAGCCUGAUUAUUGUGUACGUGUGUGACGUGUGUGUACGUGCAACACAUGAGUCGAACUGAACCAAUGGGGCCAAGAUUCUGGUUUUUCUGAGAUCAGCGCACACCAAAAAAUCCUCCCUAAACAUCAUGGAGGAGCAAGUGGCAGACCAUCCCACCAUCCAGAGCCUGGUGGCAAGAUCCCCUCUAUAAACUCUCUCAUUGGCCAGAAUGACACCGCAGGGUGAUGUCGAGGUGUACCUGGAGAUGUUCGAGAGUACCACCUGGGCAUGAGGCUGGCUGAGUGAGGUCUGCACAUUCAAGACCUCCUGAACAGAGACCUGGCUGCUUUCCAGUGGCUCGCAUUGGCUCAUGCAUUGUGUGCACACACACACACACACACACACACACACACACACACACACACACACACACACACACACACACACACACACCACUCAGGCUCAGCUCACUAAGACAGAUGGGGACAGAAAGCUCGGAAAAAGCUGAGUUCUCCAUUAUUUAGAUUUGACCAUUUCUAAGCACAUAGGGCUAAUGGAAUUAUAAACACUAUGCCUGGAAAUCAUAAAAUACGUAAUGUUAAAGACAAGAAAAUGUUUUUAAAAAUUACAUAAAAAUCACCUUCCCAAAACCAGCACAAAAAAUUUAAUAUAAAAAAAUACCCAUAACAUUUAUUAUUAUUAUUAUUAUUAUUAUUAUUAUUAUUAUUAUUAUUAUUAUAUAGUAGGCAGGCAUGUAGUGUAUGAUCCUCUGGAAACCACUUCCUCCAUUUUAUCUGGCGGCUGCCCAGGGUGAGGUGCACAAAAUAAGACAGUAGAUACACUAAAGGAAAGAACAACUCACCCUUGCUGCACUGGAUAGAGGACACCUGGAUACUGUAGAUUUAUACCUACAAAAUGCUGCUGUAAUCAUCAUCGCUGCAGUCAUCACUUCACCUGUGUGCUGUAAUAAGUUAUAAUCACACUAUCCGGUGUCACCCACAAGAGGAUGGGUUCCCUACUGAGUCUGGUUCCUCUCAAGGUUUCCUCCUCAUGUCACCUCAGGGAGGUUUUCCUUGCCAUCGUUGCCUUAAAAGCUUGCUCACUAGGGAUCUAAAUCUACAUCCAGGUUUCUGUAACAAAAUAUCUACUGAACAAGAACAAUAAAAUGAAACGUUGAAAUGAACUGAACUGGUGUGAUGACUAUCUCAUG